AGCUCCAAUAGCGUAUAUUAAAGUUGUUGCAGUUAAAAAGCUCGUAGUUGGACCUCUGGGAGGGACCCAAUGUCCGCCGUGUGCGUGCGCAGCGGGGCCCUUCCAUCCUUCUGUUAACGUUUCUCGGUAUUUACUUACUGGUUUCGGGCUCAGAUAUUUUACCUUGAGAAAAUUAGAGUGUUUCAGGCAGGCUUGCGCCGGAAUACAUUAGCAUGGAAUAAUAGAAUAGGACUUUUGUCUCCUUUGUUGGUUUGAGGGACCGAAGUAAUGAUUAAUAGGGACAGUUGGGGGCAUUAGUAUUUAAUUGUCAGAGGUGAAAUUCUCGGAUUUGUUAAAGACUAACUUAUGCGAAAGCAUUUGCCAAGGAUGUUUUCA
This 375-nucleotide ribosomal RNA is filed under the name uncultured eukaryote. RNAcentral describes it as "SSU rRNA". It matches the Rfam family "Eukaryotic small subunit ribosomal RNA", at positions 587 to 972 of the family's 1831-position model. The record is from RNAcentral.